CACUAUGAAGCUAGUAGCGCUAACCUUUUAAGUUAGAGAUAGAGACCAAUGCCUCCAUAGUGA
RNAcentral lists this transfer RNA (63 nucleotides) under Tupaia minor. RNAcentral describes it as "tRNA-Lys". The record is from RNAcentral. Lineage: Eukaryota; Metazoa; Chordata; Mammalia; Scandentia; Tupaiidae.